This 77-nucleotide transfer RNA is filed under the name Methylomirabilis sp. (SeqCode). Its description in RNAcentral is "tRNA-Pro". It matches the Rfam family "tRNA". From Rfam's summary of the family: Transfer RNA (tRNA) molecules are approximately 80 nucleotides in length. Their secondary structure includes four short double-helical elements and three loops (D, anti-codon, and T loops). Lineage: Bacteria; Methylomirabilota (SeqCode); Methylomirabilia (SeqCode); Methylomirabilales (SeqCode); Methylomirabilaceae (SeqCode). RNAcentral also lists the same sequence under 3 other names. The record is from RNAcentral.
CGGGGUGUGGCGCAGCCUGGCAGCGCACCUGCCUUGGGCGCAGGGGGUCAGCGGUUCAAAUCCGCUCACCCCGACCA